ACUGCCAAUAACUAUACUCCUUUUCAUUCCAGGAAUGCACAUUUAAAGACUUGGCUUAUGUUAAACAUAUGUAGAGAGACAUUUUUAGCAUCUAGAACUGAAUUUCUUACCCAUACUGUCUCUGCUCACUCUCGAGUGAUUCUCUAAUAAGAGGGCUCUUUUUGUUUAAAGAUCUGUAGUCGCUGGGUGCGGUGGCUCACGCCUGUUAUCCCAGCACUUUGGAAGGCCAAGGCG
RNAcentral lists this long non-coding RNA (234 nucleotides) under Homo sapiens (human). RNAcentral describes it as "HSALNT0054088". Lineage: Eukaryota; Metazoa; Chordata; Mammalia; Primates; Hominidae. The record is from RNAcentral.